CACCAUGUGUGCGGGUUGCAAACGAAGUAUCUAGCUUACCCUUCGGGAGGGCGCUUACCACUUUUCGAUUCAUGACUGCGGCGAAGUCGCAACAAGGUAACCGCAGGCGAACCUGCGCUUGGAUCACCUCCUUACCUGAAAGAAG
RNAcentral lists this ribosomal RNA (145 nucleotides) under Salmonella enterica subsp. enterica. RNAcentral's name for it is "partial 16S ribosomal RNA". It matches the Rfam family "Bacterial small subunit ribosomal RNA", at positions 1400 to 1533 of the family's 1533-position model. The record is from RNAcentral. Lineage: Bacteria; Pseudomonadati; Pseudomonadota; Gammaproteobacteria; Enterobacterales; Enterobacteriaceae.